GUGACGCAUCGGUCAGGUGCGCGGGUGUGGGAGCAGCAGGUGCGUAUGCUACGGCUGCGGAUACUCGAUUCCCCUUAACCACGCGCUAGACAUGAUCUGUGCCAGGGAUAUCCGGUCAGCCGGAACCAGCCUCAACGCACCCUUAAUCACAUUCUGACAGGUGUCAGGCACGAAUGCAGGGAUGGCGUAGGAUCCUCUGAGGAUGCAGAAGCGCAAUCGUCUCAGACUCGAGUCGUUGAAGGGGAACGUGGCCGUCAGCAUGAAGUACAGCAGGACGCCCAGAGCCCAGAGGUCCACCGACGGUCCGAUGUAACUCUUGUCCCGAAAGAGUUCAGGGGUGGUGUAGGGCAGAGAGCCGCAGAAGGUGGUGAGGAUGUCGGUGGGUUUGCACUCACCGCUGAAACAGAAGCCGCCCACUUUGAUGCAGUAUGUGGUGGUGUAGAAGACGUUUUCAGCCUUCAGCUCCCGGUGGAUGAUGUUGUUGUUUUCAUGCUAAAGAACAUCUGAGAUCUCCAUAAAGUUUCCUGAGCUAUAACGAAGCAACAUCUGAGCAAUUACAUAGGUAUUAAUAAUCAUCUUUCUAGUCCUAAAGAACCCAAAUAAGACCGUUCAGGAUAUAAAAUUUUUUUAAAACUCACACAAAAUCUGUCCUCUCCCUUUUUUCUCAGCCUUUAAGGGUUAAAGGUGCUGCUUGUCAUAUUUAAAAGCAUCCUCUAAGUGAUUCUGGUUUCUCCUCAAAGUCUCAGAUAUGUCCAGUAGUGUCCUAAUGCAUCUUCAGUUUACACAGACCUGCCCAUUUACAGUUCCAGGACGCAUAAAAUCCUUAUUCAAUCCAUUGAAGACCCCGUCACACGAGUGGCGCUCUCUCUGCGCUGCUAGUUCAUGUGUGUGUAAUCUUGUCUCACACACUCACCUACAGACAGGUGACUCACCUCUGACCCCUCCUGCCGCAGGAUUAUAGCGUCCAGCUGUCUGUCACUCGCUCCACGUGCUGAAUUUAGGUUUGUGUGUCUGGAUCCAAUUUUGGUUUGCCAUGUGGUUGCUACAACAUUAUUAGGUGAAUGCUAGGGCAUUUGUGUGCGGUUGAUAAUGUGUUCUAAGUGGCUGCCAAGUUGUUUAUAGCUGUUUUCUGUGGUUCUGUGCAUGGUUGCUGGAAUGAAAAACACCACUCUUAGUUUAGUAGUUGAAUCUGUUUCUCCAUACUCUCCUCACACAUGAAUGAGCAGUGUAGAGAUUACUAAUAUAUAACUGCAUAAUAUGACCUAAUUAUACAAGAAUGUUUUUCACUGAUGGUUGUAAUAGGAUAUCUCCUUGAGUGCCUCUAGACCAUAAGAUAAACAGACAGCCACAAUCCCCAUCAGGACCAGACGUCUAGCAUCAGAGGGAGCUGCACGAGUCGGUCUGUCUGUCCCUCUCUCUAUCUGUCUGUCUGUCUGUCUGUCUGUCUCUCUCUCUGUCU
Molecule: long non-coding RNA, 1459 nt
Organism: Cyprinus carpio carpio
Lineage: Eukaryota; Metazoa; Chordata; Actinopteri; Cypriniformes; Cyprinidae
Source: Ensembl